GGACUGUGGCUCAGCGGUAGCAUGUGUGCCUAGCAGGUGCGGGGUCCUGAGUUCGAUCCUCAGCACCA
RNAcentral lists this transfer RNA (68 nucleotides) under Marmota monax (woodchuck). RNAcentral describes it as "tRNA.Ala". The record is from RNAcentral. Lineage: Eukaryota; Metazoa; Chordata; Mammalia; Rodentia; Sciuridae.